AGACAGUGCUAUGAUGUCACUAACCCUGUUUCCCUUCCUGCCUGGCAGGCAGCUAAGUAACAAGUCCCAGCACACCUGCAGUUAGCUGGGCGCCUUGUGACUGAGUUCUGCCCCAUGGAAUGUGUGUGAAAGUAGAGGAAGCCACUCCCAGGCUUGGCUCUUGAAACCAAAACUGAAAUCAUGAGCAAGAUCUUCCAUAAACUCUCUUUUCCCUCUUGGCCGUGUGUAGAGGAUGCUUGAUAGAACUCCCAGGAUCUAAUAGGUGAAGGAGCCAAUAGAUGGAAGGAGGCCAGGGUUUCUGAAUGACUGUGUAGAGCAGGUAAUAUUCCCUCCCACACAAACUGCACUGGACUGUGAUGAGAGGAAAAAAUAAAUCUUAUUGGGUGGAGCUACCAAACAAUGUUGUGGUUAUUUGUUAUGGCAGUUAGCGUACACUGAUUAAUAUACUCUCCUUCAUUUUAGACCUAUCUCAGAACAACCGGUAUCCCCCUCCCCUUACUAUCUGUUCCUACUGUUAUGGUUGACGUACAAUUGAUGGAAUCCCUGUGGCAUCUCAGCAUGUUCACAUCAUCCAGAACUGAAAAGAAACCAACAAUGGACAGAAAUUUUGAAAUGGCUUUUGGACAUCAGAAAUAAUAUUUUGAUCUUCAUCACCUGUGAUCAGCAGAUGCACAGAUGUUUGUCUGUUAAAGAGAUUGUUGGAAGUUUUCCUUGCCAUGGUCUGGAUGCUGUGCAGUACAUCUAAAUAAUACAGCUACUCCAGGAUGUGCUAUGAUCCUGUGCUGCUCUUCUCUACAAGCCCAAGACAAGAGAACUCAUGAGAAGCAUUUCCUUCCCGAAUCAAUGGUCUACGCCAAGGUCAAAUGCCCUUUACUUGCACAGUCCUUUCAACACUCCUUUCUUCCACGAAGCCUUCUGCUGACUCUCUGCCCAAGGGGCUUGGAGUGAGGUUCGAGGAGGAUGAGUCAGGGGCUGGAGCAUGAAGGCCAGGAUUCAUCUUGUAUUUCUUCCUUAACUUACCUUUCCUUGUUCUGCUAUGGUUGAAAAACCCUUCUCAAAAACUUCCAGCAGUGUAUACCUGUUUAAAGAAGCAAGGCACAGAGCAAAGGAAAUAAAAUUUGUUGUAUUUAUCAAUA
Long non-coding RNA from Galeopterus variegatus (Sunda flying lemur), 1136 nucleotides. RefSeq lists it as uncharacterized. The transcript has 3 exons. The record is from RefSeq and is a predicted model, not a curated record. Lineage: Eukaryota; Metazoa; Chordata; Mammalia; Dermoptera; Cynocephalidae.